GACUCUCAGCAAUGGAUAUCUCGGCUCUCGCAUCGAUAAACAACGUUGUGAAAUGCGAUACUUGGUGUAAUUGCAGAAUCCCGUGAACCAUCAAGCCUUCUGGCUGAGGGCACGUUUGCCUGGGUGUCA
RNAcentral lists this ribosomal RNA (129 nucleotides) under Brassica napus (rape). Its description in RNAcentral is "rRNA 5_8S_rRNA". It matches the Rfam family "5.8S ribosomal RNA". From Rfam's summary of the family: 5.8S ribosomal RNA (5.8S rRNA) is a component of the large subunit of the eukaryotic ribosome. It is transcribed by RNA polymerase I as part of the 45S precursor that also contains 18S and 28S rRNA. Lineage: Eukaryota; Viridiplantae; Streptophyta; Magnoliopsida; Brassicales; Brassicaceae. The record is from RNAcentral.